UACAGAGGGUGCGAGCGUUGUUCGGAAUUAUUGGGCGUAAAGCGCGUGUAGGCGGCUUUGCAAGUCGGGUGUGGAAUCCCUCAGCUCAACUGAGGAAGUGCGCCCGAAACUGCAGAGCUUGAGUACCGGAGAGGAUGGUGGAAUUCCCCAAGUAGAGGUGAAAUUCGUAGAUAUGGGGAGGAACACCGGUGGCGAAGGCGACCAUCUGGACGGAUACUGACGCUGAGACGCGAAAGCGUGGGUAGCGAACAGG
RNAcentral lists this ribosomal RNA (253 nucleotides) under uncultured bacterium. RNAcentral describes it as "partial 16S ribosomal RNA". It matches the Rfam family "Bacterial small subunit ribosomal RNA", at positions 524 to 776 of the family's 1533-position model. The record is from RNAcentral.